RNAcentral lists this ribosomal RNA (300 nucleotides) under uncultured Staphylothermus sp. RNAcentral's name for it is "partial 16S ribosomal RNA". The stretch from base 61 to 300 matches the Rfam family "Bacterial small subunit ribosomal RNA", at positions 556 to 795 of the family's 1533-position model. The record is from RNAcentral. Lineage: Archaea; Thermoproteati; Thermoproteota; Thermoprotei; Desulfurococcales; Desulfurococcaceae.
GCGGAGUGGGUGCUGGUGGGGGGGGUGAGACGUGGGGGGCGAGGGGUGGUGGGGGUUGCGGGGCGGAAGGGGGGUGUGGGGGGUUGUUUAGGGUGGUGGUGAAAUGUCCCGGCUCAAGGGGGAGGGUGCGCCGAAUACUGAAUGACUAGAGUGCGGGAGAGGAGAGUGGAAGUCCUGGUGUAGCGGUGAAAUGCGUAGAUAUCAGGAGGAACACCGGUGGUGUAGACGGCUCUCUGGACCGUAACUGACGCUGAGACACGAAAGCGUGGGUAGCAAACAGGAUUAGAUACCCUUGUAGUC